RNAcentral lists this ribosomal RNA (254 nucleotides) under uncultured bacterium. RNAcentral's name for it is "partial 16S ribosomal RNA". It matches the Rfam family "Bacterial small subunit ribosomal RNA", at positions 524 to 776 of the family's 1533-position model. The record is from RNAcentral.
UACAGAGGGUGCAAGCGUUAAUCGGAAUUACUGGGCGUAAAGGGCGCGUAGGCGGCCAGCACAAGUCAGUUGUGAAAUCUCCGAGCUUAACUCGGAAAGGUCAACUGAUACUGUGCGGCUAGAGUGAUGUAGGGGAGACUGGAAUUCCUGGUGUAGCGGUGAAAUGCGCAGAUAUCAGGAGGAACACCGAUGGCGAAGGCAGGUCUCUGGGCAUUAACUGACGCUGAGGAGCGAAAGCAUGGGGAGCGAACAGG